AACGAACGCUGGCGGCAUGCCUAACACAUGCCAGUCGAACGAGACCUUCGGGUCUAUUGGCGCACGGGUGCGUAACGCGUGGGAACCUGCCCUUAGGUUCGGAAUAACUCCCCGAAAGGGGUGCUAAUACCGGAUAAUGUCUUCGGACCAAAGAGUUAUCGCCUUUGGAUGGGCCCGCGUUGGAUUUGCUCGUUGGUAGGGUAAAAGCCUACCAAGGCGUCGAUCCAUAGCUGGUCUGAGAGGAUGAUCAGCCACACUGGGACUGAGACACGGCCCAGACUCCUACGGGAGGCAGGAGUGGGGAAUAUUGGACAAUGGGCGAAAGCCUGAUCCAGCAAUGCCGCGUGAGUGAUGAAGGCCUUAGGGUUGUAAAGCUCUUUUACCCGGGAUGAUAAUGACGGUACCGGGAGAAUAAGCUCCGGCUAACUACGUG
RNAcentral lists this ribosomal RNA (433 nucleotides) under uncultured bacterium. Its description in RNAcentral is "partial 16S ribosomal RNA". It matches the Rfam family "Bacterial small subunit ribosomal RNA", at positions 29 to 507 of the family's 1533-position model. The record is from RNAcentral.